This 410-nucleotide ribosomal RNA is filed under the name uncultured bacterium. RNAcentral describes it as "bacterial SSU rRNA". It matches the Rfam family "Bacterial small subunit ribosomal RNA", at positions 358 to 771 of the family's 1533-position model. The record is from RNAcentral.
GGAAUAUUGGACAAUGGGCGGAAGCCUGAUCCAGCAACGCCGCGUGAGGGAUGACGGCCUUCGGGUUGUAAACCUCUUUCAGCACCGGCGAAGCGCCCGUGAGGGUGGUGACGGUAGGUGCAGAAGAAGGACCGGCCAACUACGUGCCAGCAGCCGCGGUAAUACGUAGGGUCCGAGCGUUGUCCGGAAUUAUUGGGCGUAAAGGGCCCGUAGGCGGUUUGUCGCGUCGGGAGUGAAAACACCGGGCUUAACUCGGUGCUUGCUUUCGAUACGGGCAGACUGGAGGCAUGCAGGGGAGAACGGAAUUCCUGGUGUAGCGGUGAAAUGCGCAGAUAUCAGGAGGAACACCGGUGGCGAAGGCGGUUCUCUGGGCAUGUCCUGACGCUGAGGAGCGAAAGUGUGGGGAGCGG